GAUGAACGCUGGCGGCGUGCCUAAUACAUGCAAGUCGAACGCAUUGAGAAAAGUGCUUGCACUUUUCAAUUUGAGUGGCGAACGGGUGAGUAACACGUGGGCAACCUACCUGAUAGCGGGGGAUAACGAGUGGAAACAUUCGCUAAUACCGCAUAACAAUAGAGAAGGCAUCUUCUUUAUUUAAAAGGCGCUUUCAAGCGUCACUAUCAGAUGGGCCCGCGGUGCAUUAGUUAGUGGGUGGGGUGAAGGCCUACCAAGACGAUGAUGCAUAGCCGAGUUGGCAGACUGACCGGCAACAUUGGGACUGAGACACGGCCCAAACUCCUACGGGAGGCUGCAGUAGGGAAUCUUCCACAAUGGACGAAAGUCUGAUGGGGCAACGCCGCGUGUGUGAUGAAGGCUUUCGGGUCGUAAAGCACUGUUGUAUGGGAAGAAAUGCUAGGCUAGGAAAUGAGCUUAGUUUGACGGUACCAUACCAGAAAGGGACGGCUAAAUACGUGCCAGCCGCCGCAGUAA
This 516-nucleotide ribosomal RNA is filed under the name uncultured bacterium. RNAcentral's name for it is "partial 16S ribosomal RNA". It matches the Rfam family "Bacterial small subunit ribosomal RNA", at positions 28 to 523 of the family's 1533-position model. The record is from RNAcentral.